Molecule: long non-coding RNA, 301 nt
Organism: Astatotilapia calliptera (eastern happy)
Lineage: Eukaryota; Metazoa; Chordata; Actinopteri; Cichliformes; Cichlidae
Source: Ensembl
CGUGGAUUGAACCUGACGUCAUAGUACGGGUGUUUUUCCUGUUGGGUCCUUGUGUAUAUGGCCACCUGGUGAGGGAGCAAAACCCUCCUCCUGCUUGUUAGUCAGCUUCAUUAGUGAAGCCCAGGCUGUAAAGGGCCUAAAUUCAUCAAGCCACUGUCACAGGGUUGCCACAUUGGAUUAUCUUAUCCCUAACAUCCUUUUCUAUCAACCCAACCCACUGCAUGUCUUCUUUCACCUCAUCCAUGAACCUCCUCUGUGGACUUCUUAUUUUCCUCCUGCCUGGCAACUCCAUAGUCAACAU